GAGGAAACUUCAAAGAAUUGAAGAGAAUACUACGCACAAGAAACUAUCAAAAAAUGUGAUCACAUUUCACUGGACGGCACCAAGGAAUAAUACUUCCAGAAAGGUUAUCCAUGUUUGAAUGUUUAUAACAGCUAUAUUGAAAUACACCCAAGAUGGAACCCGAAUGCUCAGCUCCAAAAGUAAUUAAAUUACAAGAACUGAAUGUUAAUGUUUGACCAGGAAGACUUUGUACUUGACAGGCGUAAUUUAAUUUACCUUUAUGUAAUUAUUUGCAGCGCUGAAGUUCAUGGGUUUUUUUUGCAUCUCAUUGGACGAGAGUGUGAAAGGGCUACGGCUCCAAGCGGUG
This is a non-coding RNA of Paramuricea clavata, 346 nucleotides long. The record is from the annotation of a GenBank genome assembly. Lineage: Eukaryota; Metazoa; Cnidaria; Anthozoa; Malacalcyonacea; Plexauridae.